CCACGAGUUAACUAGUGCAAAGAUUUCACUGUUGAGGGCAAAUUUACUGAAUUUAAAACUCCAAUGUCUCCUAGCGACAGAAAGGCAACUUUGACCAUUGAGAGUCAUCCCAAGUUUGAAGACAAUCAAAGAACUGCUGUGAAGCAAGGAGACAUGGGGGUGAUCACGAUUUCUGCUCAGCGCUGUGGAAUGAUGAGGUUGAAGAUGGAGGUCAUGGACCAGCCUGCAGCAGGUAGUCUCUGAAGUGGGACACCUGUAAUUGUCUGCUUGGCCAACCAAGCAGAAAGGGAAGCCUGCUAGAGUUCUCAAUGCCAUUGUGAUUAAAAGAGAUCACAGCCUA
Long non-coding RNA from Neofelis nebulosa (Clouded leopard), 340 nucleotides. RefSeq lists it as uncharacterized. NCBI's taxonomy places the organism in Eukaryota, Metazoa, Chordata, Mammalia, Carnivora, Felidae. The transcript is spliced from 2 exons. The record is from RefSeq and is a predicted model, not a curated record.